AUUGAACGCUGGCGGCAUGCUUUACACAUGCAAGUCGGACGGCAGCACAGAGAAGCUUGCUUCUUGGGUGGCGAGUGGCGAACGGGUGAGUAAUAUAUCGGAACGUACCGAGUAAUGGGGGAUAACUAAUCGAAAGAUUAGCUAAUACCGCAUAUUCUCUGAGGAGGAAAGCAGGGGAGCUUCGGGCCUUGCGUGAUUCGAGCGGCCGAUAUCUGAUUAGCUAGUUGGUGGGGUAAAGGCCUACCAAGGCGACGAUCAGUAGGGGGUCUGAGAGUGUGAUACGCCACACUGGGACUGGGACAGGGCCCAGGCUACUGCGGGAGGCAGCAGUGUGGAAUGUUGGACAACGGGCGCAAGCCUGAUCCAGCCAGGCCACGUGUCUGACGAAGGCCUUGGGGUUGUAAAGGACUUUUGUCAGGGAAGAAAAGGCUGUUGCUAAUACCGACAGCUGAUGACGGUACCUGAUAAAUAAGCACCGGCUAACUACGUG
This 490-nucleotide ribosomal RNA is filed under the name uncultured bacterium. RNAcentral's name for it is "partial 16S ribosomal RNA". It matches the Rfam family "Bacterial small subunit ribosomal RNA", at positions 30 to 507 of the family's 1533-position model. The record is from RNAcentral.